GAGGAUGAUGGCUCAUCCCCAGAAGCAUCAGUAUGUGCAUCUGAUGAUUCUGAUGUAGGGAUUAUUGAAAAUUGCCCCAUUGAGAAAGAUUUGGAUUUAUGUCAAAAAGAGAAAAUUGAUCAACAAAGAUCUCAAUCAAUGGAAAACGUAGAGAGUUUGACAGAUAGACUCGCUGCAAGCUCUAGUGAGAUGCUGGAUACCUCUGACAUUAAAGGUACUGGAGACCCUGAUAGGAUGCAUGAUGCUAAUGAGAAUGGUGAUCUUGCAUUGUAUCAGGAAAAUCCAAUUACUUUGCAUAAAGAACCUGACAUGGUAGAAAAUGGGUUGGAAAACGCAGGGGUCACUAGUGGUGACAUGCAAACUAUGGUUGAUGAUGUGAUGGAAGAAUCAGAGGUAGAAAAUGGGUUGCAUCAACACUCGGAGAAGGCAGAGAUCACUGCCGGUGACAUGCAAACUAUGAGUGAUGAUGUGAUGGCAGUAUCAGAUGAGAAGCAAACGAUCAAGGAUAAUGUGAUGGUAGAAUCAGAUGAGAAGCAAACAGUCAGGGAUAAUGUGAUGGCAGAAUCAAAUGAGAAGCAAACAGUGGAGGAUAAUGCUAUGGCAGAAUCAGACGAACAGCAAGCUGCAAAAAGGCUUCGGGUUACAGCUCCCCAAGAAGCGGAGGGAGAUGUCACUGGAAGCCUAUCGAAGGAUCUCCAUUUGCAAUUUAGGCUGUAGGUGGAGCUCUCCUCUUAGAUUUUUGUUAACAUA
This 750-nucleotide unclassified non-coding RNA is filed under the name Hevea brasiliensis (rubber tree). The record is from RNAcentral. Lineage: Eukaryota; Viridiplantae; Streptophyta; Magnoliopsida; Malpighiales; Euphorbiaceae.